RNAcentral lists this ribosomal RNA (497 nucleotides) under uncultured bacterium. RNAcentral's name for it is "partial 16S ribosomal RNA". It matches the Rfam family "Bacterial small subunit ribosomal RNA", at positions 28 to 507 of the family's 1533-position model. The record is from RNAcentral.
GAUGAACGCUGGCGGCGUGCCUAAUACAUGCAAGUCGAGCGAACAGACGAGGAGCUUGCUCCUCUGACGUUAGCGGCGGACGGGUGAGUAACACGUGGAUAACCUACCUAUAAGACUGGGAUAACUUCGGGAAACCGGAGCUAAUACCGGAUAAUAUAUUGAACCGCAUGGUUCAAUAGUGAAAGACGGUUUUGCUGUCACUUAUAGAUGUAUCCGCGCCGCAUUAGCUAGUUGGUAAGGUAACGGCUUACCAAGGCGACGAUGCGUAGCCGACCUGAGAGGGUGAACGGCCACACUGGAACUGAGACACGGUACAGACUCCUACGGGAGGCAGCAGUAGGGAAUCUUCCGAAAUGGGCGAAAGACUGACGGAGCAACGCAGCGUGAGUGAUGAAGGUCUUCGGAUCGUAAAACUCUGUUAGUAGGGAAGAACAAAUGUGUAAGUAACUAUGCACGUCUUGACGGUACCUAAUCAGAAAGCCACGGCUAACUACGUG